This 298-nucleotide signal recognition particle RNA is filed under the name Periophthalmus magnuspinnatus. Its description in RNAcentral is "Metazoan signal recognition particle RNA (ENSPMGG00000008979.1)". It matches the Rfam family "Metazoan signal recognition particle RNA". Rfam says of the family: The signal recognition particle (SRP) is a universally conserved ribonucleoprotein. It is involved in the co-translational targeting of proteins to membranes. The eukaryotic SRP consists of a 300-nucleotide 7S RNA and six proteins: SRPs 72, 68, 54, 19, 14, and 9. The record is from RNAcentral. Lineage: Eukaryota; Metazoa; Chordata; Actinopteri; Gobiiformes; Gobiidae.
GCCGGGUGCGGUGGCACGCGCCUGUAAUCCAAGCUACCGGGAGGCUGAGGCUGGAGGAUCGUUUGAGCUCAGGAGCUCUGAGCUGCAGCGGACUAUGUCGAUCGGGUGUCCGCACUAAGUUCGGUAUCGAUAUGGUGCUCCUGGGGGAGCCCGGGACCACCAGGUCGUCUAAGGAGGGGUGCACCGGCCCAGGUCGGAAACGGAGCAGGUCAAAGCCCCCGUGCCGCUCAGUAGUGGGAUCGCGCCUGUGAAUAGACGCUGUAGUGCAGCCUGAGUAAUACAGCGGGACUCAGUCUUU